AAACUAGCUAACCUUAGGUCUAUCUGUCGAUCUGAACCCAGCUAGCACAGUGGAUCUGGGCCACUUCCGGCUGAGAGUCGGGGCACUCGGCUGAGAGUCAGACUCGGCCUACGUCAUGUGGCCCGAGUCUGGGCCACCCUCGGCAGUAUUACCUACGGCUAGGAUGCGGGGAAUGAGCUCGGGCAGAUUCUGGUACAUGAGGCGUGACAUGCGGAACAUCAGGCUCACCCCAUGACAAGCAGUGCAUGAUCAAAGCUACCCUCAGCAAGGAGAUCUGCUUCAAGUGAUGUACUCUCUCUCUCACUCUGGGGGUACAGGCAGGGAUGACUGGGGCCUUCAACAAUUAAGACACAGGGGGAGGAGCAAUACGAGUCUGUCAGAGGUUGUCACACUGGAUGGGGAUGGUGAGAGAGGCUUUGGUGGUCCACACAAUGAAGAAGCAUCACUGUCCCUUCCAGUGAUGUGGAGCUGACCUUGGACCUGAUGCCAGUAAGGAUGUAAAAAAUGUGCUAUAUGAAUAAAGUUUGAUUUGAUUGAUGAAUUUACAGCUGUAGAAUAUUUAAUAAAUGAAUGUUCACGUCUAGUGUUUUUUUAUUUUAUUAAUUGAUCAUUUGGGAUAUUAUCACUUGAAAUAUCAAUCAUAUAGUGGGAAGGAUCAUAUAAAUCAAGACAGUGUGAAUGCAUCUACCACUCCGAAUAAAUAAAUACUUUGCCUCCGAAGAUUUGUCUCUGGUCAUGAAACUACAAUACUGGCUGGAUGUCUAAACAAAGUCAAUUCUGAAUGUCAAUAGGUUUUUAGAUUUAUUCUCCUCAAUGACAACAUUCUACAACUGAGUUAUCACUCAUCUAAGUCUGAUAUCCGGGGUAAUCUGGUUAAUGAUUAUAUAAUUAAGUGUAUUUUUCCUUGUAGAAUGUUGACAGCUGUAUAGAACAUUGUAUUGCUAAAAUGCUCAAACUUAAUAGCUAAACUCACAAACACAGGAUAAACUUUCCCUCAUGCUGGCCCUGACCAAACCAGAGUUCAUGGAUUGGACACAGCCUCUGAUCGCACUGGUGAACGGCAGCUGUCAGUGUUGGCUAGAGAUGACGUGAAGGAGCUUCCUGCAGGAAUUUGUAGUUUUGCUGAGGUCUUCUCUCCUACACUAAACGCAGACCUAAUAUGAAGUAGUUCUAAAAUCCCAGAUGCAAAAAUGAAUGGAGAAAAAACAAUUGGAACUGUUACCAGGUUUUACUGCUAGGUUUUAUGGGUAUUAUGAAGCAUCCAUUGUGCCAGACUAUAUGCCUACAAUAAUAGAACACUUUAACACCAACGUAAUUAGCCAGUUCACCCGUGAUACAAGUCAGUAUUUGACGUCCAUCCAUGUCUGAGGUCGUGAGAUGACGUGAAAACCAGCCACUAGGGGCAAAAAUGAGCAAUGUUACCUUCAAGUUGGUUUUGGUUUUGCUAGGAUGUUGAUAGGGAAUACGGUUGGGCAUCAGUAUCUGCCUUUGAUUCCAAAGGUUGCAAAUUCAAAUCCAGCAAUAGAAACUUAUUAUUAUAUUUUAAGCCUAUCCCAAACCUUAACCAUUCGGAGUUAAUGCCUAACCUUGAACAUUUUGAGUUAUUGCCUAAAAUUAAACAUUUAGAAAUUUUACAUUUGGAAAAAUGUAUAUUUUUGAUGUUUGAGAAACAUGGAUGAACGUCUAAUUCUGACGUGAGACUGUGAGAGCUGGUUGGACGUAAUAGUCUACUUAAAAGCCUUCUUACAUGGCUGAUGUUGAUAGAUCUCUUCUAGAAAAGUAGGCUAUCUGUUCAGUGGCAGCAGCACCAGUGAAGCUCUAGCUAGGCAAUUGGAUGGGUUUCAUAUUAACAGAUCAUUUCUGUCAUGAUCCCCCCUAUCCCCAGUGAAAGUUGCACCCCUGUUUUUGUUACAUCCCAGUAGGCAUACGAUGUGAUAAAGACAUUUUACUGGAUGAAAUCUGGUCGGGACGUCUUAUAACCAGAUUACAACCAUAUUAAGAUAUAUUAGUUAGUCUUUUUGACAUUGGUUGAUAUCUGAUAUUUGGUUGAUAUCAGUUUUUUGGUUGAAAUCUGAUUGAGCUACUGACCAGUUAUCUAAGUGCUAAUCAAUUAAAAGACGCCAAUCUAUAUAAACAUGUGCAUAGUGUUUGUUGGCAAUGCGCCCAUUGCAUGUAAGACAAUAAAAC
Molecule: long non-coding RNA, 2187 nt
Organism: Salmo trutta (river trout)
Lineage: Eukaryota; Metazoa; Chordata; Actinopteri; Salmoniformes; Salmonidae
Source: Ensembl